CUGGACUACUUGGGCGACCAGGAGAGAAAGGAAAACAGGGAGAGAAGGGCGAACCGGGAGCCAUCUUUGCCUCGACAGACUCCCUGACCGAACUGAUCCGGAGGCCUGGAGAGAAGGGUGAGCCUGGAGACGGGGGACCCCCCGGGCCAAUGGGACCAAUGGGGCCUCCAGGACACAAAGGAGAACUUGGUUUUCCCGGCCGGCCUGUACG
Molecule: long non-coding RNA, 211 nt
Organism: Gekko japonicus
Lineage: Eukaryota; Metazoa; Chordata; Lepidosauria; Squamata; Gekkonidae
Exons: 4
Source: RefSeq, a predicted model, not a curated record